RNAcentral lists this ribosomal RNA (566 nucleotides) under uncultured bacterium. RNAcentral's name for it is "bacterial SSU rRNA". It matches the Rfam family "Bacterial small subunit ribosomal RNA", at positions 41 to 604 of the family's 1533-position model. The record is from RNAcentral.
GGCAGGCCUAAUACAUGCAAGUCGAGGGGUAAGGCUCACUUCGGUGGGUACACGACCGGCGCACGGGUGCGUAACGCGUAUGCAACCUACCUAUAACUGGAGGAUAGCCCCGAGAAAUCGGGAUUAAUACUCCAUAACAACAUUUUUUGGCAUCAUUAGAUGUUUAAAGCUCCGGCGGUUAUAGAUGGGCAUGCGUGACAUUAGUUAGUUGGUGAGGUAACGGCUCACCAAGACUACGAUGUCUAGGGGUUCUGAGAGGAAGAUCCCCCACACUGGUACUGAGACACGGACCAGACUCCUACGGGAGGCAGCAGUAAGGAAUAUUGCGCAAUGGAGGAAACUCUGACGCAGCCAUGCCGCGUGAAGGAUGAAGGCCUUAUGGGUCGUAAACUUCUUUUAUCAGGGAAUAAACCCUCGCUCGUGAGCGAGGCUGAAGGUACCUGAAGAAUAAGCACCGGCUAACUCCGUGCCAGCAGCCGCGGUAAUACGGAGGGUGCAAGCGUUAUCCGGAUUCAUUGGGUUUAAAGGGUGCGCAGGCGGACUUUUAAGUCAGUGGUGAAAUCCCG